RNAcentral lists this ribosomal RNA (486 nucleotides) under uncultured bacterium. RNAcentral describes it as "partial 16S ribosomal RNA". It matches the Rfam family "Bacterial small subunit ribosomal RNA", at positions 28 to 507 of the family's 1533-position model. The record is from RNAcentral.
GUUGAACGCUGGCGGCAUGCCUUACACAUGCAAGUCGAACGGCAGCACGGGUGCUUGCACCUGGUGGCGAGUGGCGAACGGGUGAGUAAUACAUCGGAACAUGUCCUGUAGUGGGGGAUAGCCCGGCGAAAGCCGGAUUAAUACCGCAUACGAUCUACGGAUGAAAGCGGGGGACCUUCGGGCCUCGCGCUAUAGGGUUGGCCGAUGGCUGAUUAGCUAGUUGGUGGGGUAAAGGCCUACCAAGGCGACGAUCAGUAGCUGGUCUGAGAGGACGACCAGCCACACUGGGACUGAGACACGGCCCAGACUCCUACGGGAGGCAGCAGUGGGGAAUUUUGGACAAUGGGCGAAAGCCUGAUCCAGCAAUGCCGCGUGUGUGAAGAAGGCCUUCGGGUUGUAAAGCACUUUUGUCCGGAAAGAAAUCCUUGGCUCUAAUACAGCCGGGGGAUGACGGUACCGGAAGAAUAAGCACCGGCUAACUACGUG